CUGGAAAUGAGAAAUUAACUGUAUAUAUUAGGGAGUGGUUUUGUAGAAUUGGAUAGGAAUUAAUUAAAGCAUUAUUAAGGAGGAAAAGAUAGAAAUUAGGUGUUAUUGAGUAUUGGAAAGAGAAAAAAUUAAUUGAGUUAUAGUGAAUUAUUUGUACUGUGAAGGAGUAUUUGAAAUAUAAUGAAUAAUGAGUUGAGUAAAGUAGUUUUAACUGAGUGUACCUUUUGUAUCAGGGUUGAUUAAAAAUUUUAUAGGGAUCUAAUGUUUAUCUCGAUUUGAAAAGUGCAAAUCUAUGUUGUAAGUUAAUGUAGAAUAAUUAUUUAUAAAAAUAGAUUAGAGAUGAAAUGUCAUUCGUUUUUCAAGAUAUCUAGUUUUUUAAGAAAUGAAUUUAAUUCAGUUAUUUAAUUGUAGUAUAUCAUUAAUGGAUUGGUCUAUAAGUUAAGUAAUAAUGACUUGGGGGAUAAGCUCUGAGUUAUAUAUUAUAAUUUUUGGGAAUUAAAGUUAUUUAGGCUUAGAAUUAGCCAUAAUUGGAAAAGUGUUAUAAUUUAAUUUUAUUAUUAAAUAAUUUUGUAUAAUUUAAGGUGUUGAAGAUUAAAAUAAAACACGGAAUUUUAGAGUGUUAGAAAUAAUGAUUAAAUUAGUAUAGGGGAUGAAAUGUAUAGUUGAUGGAUGAAAAACGGAAGGUUGCUUUAAGGAACUAGGCAAAUUAGUGCUCGCCUGUUUAACAAAAACAUGUCUUUAUGAUGAUAAUUUAAAGUCUGACCUGCCCACUGAUAAGUAAUUGAAGGGCCGCGGUAUUUUGACCGUGCAAAGGUAGCAUAAUCAUUAGUCUUUUAAUUGAAGGCUGGAAUGAAUGGUCGGACGAGGCAUUGACUGUCUCAUUGUGAGUGAUUCUAGAAUUUAACUUUUGGGUGAAAAGGCUUAAAUGAGUUUAGAGGACGAGAAGACCCUAUAGAUCUUUAUAUUAAAUUUAUUAUAAAUAGUUUGGUUGGAUGAAUUUUAGGAGUGAAUUUAGUAUUUUGUUGGGGUGACAGGAAGAUAGAGAUAACUCUUUUUUAUUAAAUACACUGAUUUGUGAAAAGUAUGAUCCAUGUUUCGUGAUUAUAAGACUCAGUUACCUUAGGGAUAACAGCGUAAUCUUUUUAGAGAGUUCUUAUCGACAAAAAGGGUUGCGACCUCGAUGUUGGAUUAAGGUAAAGUUUGGGUGCAGAAGCUUGAAUUUUAGGUCUGUUCGACCUUUAAAUCCUUACAUGAUCUGAGUUCAGACCGGCGUGAGCCAGGUCGGUUUCUAUCCUUAAAAUUUGAAAAAUAUUUUAGUACGAAAGGACCAAAUAUUGCAAUUGAUUUGCUAUGAGGGGAUGUUAAAUAACAGUAGA
Molecule: ribosomal RNA, 1376 nt
Filed under: Paragnetina indentata
Lineage: Eukaryota; Metazoa; Arthropoda; Insecta; Plecoptera; Perlidae
Description: 16S ribosomal RNA
Rfam family: Archaeal large subunit ribosomal RNA (bases 671-1376)
Source: RNAcentral